Molecule: ribosomal RNA, 198 nt
Filed under: uncultured bacterium
Lineage: Bacteria
Description: partial 16S ribosomal RNA
Rfam family: Bacterial small subunit ribosomal RNA
Source: RNAcentral
CAGGCUGCAACCCGCCUGCAUGAAGUCGGAAUUGCUAGUAAUCGCGGAUCAGCAUGCCGCGGUGAAUACGUUCCCGGGCCUUGUACACACCGCCCGUCACACCAUGGGAGCCGGUAAUACCCGAAGUCAGUAGUCCAACCUCGUGAGGACGCUGCCGAAGGUAGGAUUGGCGACUGGGUGAAGUCGUAACAAGGUAGC